UAUAGAUCAUUGACCUGCUUUCUGUUGCAA
This 30-nucleotide non-coding RNA is filed under the name Mus musculus (house mouse). Lineage: Eukaryota; Metazoa; Chordata; Mammalia; Rodentia; Muridae. The record is from RNAcentral.